AUUGAACGCUGGCGGCAGGCCUAACACAUGCAAGUCGAGCGGAUGAAGGGAGCUUGCUCCUGGAUUCAGCGGCGGACGGGUGAGUAAUGCCUAGGAAUCUGCCUGGUAGUGGGGGAUAACGUCCGGAAACGGGCGCUAAUACCGCAUACGUCCUGAGGGAGAAAGUGGGGGAUCUUCGGACCUCACGCUAUCAGAUGAGCCUAGGUCGGAUUAGCUAGUUGGUGGGGUAAAGGCCUACCAAGGCGACGAUCCGUAACUGGUCUGAGAGGAUGAUCAGUCACACUGGAACUGAGACACGGUCCAGACUCCUACGGGAGGCAGCAGUGGGGAAUAUUGGACAAUGGGCGAAAGCCUGAUCCAGCCAUGCCGCGUGUGUGAAGAAGGUCUUCGGAUUGUAAAGCACUUUAAGUCGGGAGGAAGGGCAGUAAGUUAAUACCUUGCUGUUUUGACGUUACCAACAGAAUAAGCACCGGCUAACUUCGUG
RNAcentral lists this ribosomal RNA (484 nucleotides) under uncultured bacterium. RNAcentral's name for it is "partial 16S ribosomal RNA". It matches the Rfam family "Bacterial small subunit ribosomal RNA", at positions 30 to 507 of the family's 1533-position model. The record is from RNAcentral.